Molecule: long non-coding RNA, 1703 nt
Filed under: Mizuhopecten yessoensis (Yesso scallop)
Lineage: Eukaryota; Metazoa; Mollusca; Bivalvia; Pectinida; Pectinidae
Description: uncharacterized LOC110454354
Source: RNAcentral
UGUUUGUCCUGUUGAAUAUUAUUAUUAAAAUUGCUUUAUCAUGUAUGAUCCAAAUAUAAAUAUGUAUACAUACAUGUGACUCUACACCAGGUCAAUUGUGAUAUAAAUCAGGUUUUGUAAGUGGUUGUGAAAGGUUCAUGUGCUAAUAGAUAAUUAACAUUGAUUUAUACCUUAACUGAGCUUUACAGCUUCCCUCCUUGCCACCCCACAAAAACUUGCAAAAUGCAUGUAAACAAUGAAAUAGUUCACUCUUUUUCGUUACCUUACAAUAACGCUCCAAUGUGACUUAUAUUAACGACCUGAUUACGAACCUUAUUAGGAAACUUGUUGCUUGAGAUGCAUGUAUGAUAUGAGCUAUGAUACAUGACAAACCAUUCAAACUACAUCAAUUGUUAUUUAAGACAUUAACAUAGUGUUAACUUAACCUUCCUAUGUAUUUUUACGUAGAUGUGUGUGUAUUGUUUAUGCACAGUUAAACACUACUUGAAACCAAAUGUAGAUUUGACAUGAGUUGUUAUACUUGUUAAUUCAUUUACCAGGUGUGUUAUACUCGUUAAUUCAUUUACCAGGCGUGUUAUACUCGUUAAUUACUUGUUGCAUUGUAAUUUAUAACACUAAACAGUGAAACUAUUGUAAUUAAGGUAGAGAGAUUCUGUAAAGCUACUUUAGUUAAUUCAUGCUUUUUUCUGUAUACUUAUACAAGAGUUACAGUUACAGGUUAAAGUUCUCCUUAGGGAGUUUUGAAUUUAUUACCAAUAACAUUGCAGAAAGUAUCAGCAUGACAAAUAUCACAACCUUAAAUAGCACAGUGGAUAAUUAACAUCCCUACUUUAUAAUAAAGGCUCUUGGUACCAAAAUAAUGUGACAAGAGGUGUUUUUUUGUGAAAAAGAAAACUAUGUACACUGUAUUUGUUCUAUAUAUUAUGUACACUGUAUUUGUUCUAUAUAUUAUGCUUUGCUAUACUAUGAAAGCAACUCCAAGUAAAAAUAAAAUGUCAUACACGCCGGAACUCUUCUUUGUUCAAGAUACAAAACUGAGCACUAGGCUCUCUACCUUAAAUGAAUAAACCUACAAUUACAUGUACAGUAUCUGCUUGUAAAUUAUACCCUAUUCAUCUUCAAAGGAUCAUGUUCCAGUCCCCUGUCAUUUUUGCAGGUAUAUAUAUAGCAUGGUAAGGUUUAUACUUAAUAUGUACAUGUCAUAAUAAUAAAUCUACCUGAGAGUUUGUAUUUAAACAGACAUAUCGAAGAACUACAUUUAAAAAAUUCUUUUUAAAAUAUUUUGAUACUUUCCAAUCAUGUUUCUUAUUUGUAUCCUGAGUAACUUGGACUGAAUUGAUUAAUUACUGUAUAUUUAAGGAUAGCAAAAAAAUCAAUGAUUUUCCAAUAUGUAAUCUCAUUAAUCUUACAAUUAUCUUUCCAAUACAAAUAGUUUACAUUGACAAUUAAUCGGUAAGAGAAAAGCGAAGGUGUUAACAAGAUAUUUACAUGUCAUUUCCCCCAUCAUUGUAUUUGAUGUGGCUGACACACUGACAGUAAUACCCAUUGUAAAUGUUUAUCAUUACUUCAUAAUUUAUCUGAAUUGGAAGACAUGGACAUACGGUAUAUGGAAAUUAUAUGUCAUCCACUUUAUAUUGUGAUCCUUUUUAUAUUUAAAUUCUAUGAAUUUUUAGUACAUGAUAAAUAAACGGUAUAAAAAAGUA